CUCAAUUGGAGGGUUCUUCUGCCAGUUUUGUCUGGAGUUAUGUGAUUGCAAUCAGCCUGUGACUUGACUUGGUCUGGAUGAUUUAAUAGGAUGCCACUCAUCUGUCUAGUAGUCAGUGCUGGCUUUUGGCUGGGUCUUUUUCUUCAUGUGGCUUCUCUUUCUCAAGAAUGCAAGGUAAAGGUUCUUCAUAUAGCAACCUGGUCAGCAAGAGAAAGAGAAAGAACAAAUCAACAAGGCCUCUUGUAACUGGGGCUCAGAACUCCCAGAUCAUUUCUGCCACAUUCUGUUGACUAGUGCAAGUGUGGAGGCCAGGCUAGAUGGAAGAGAAUGGAAAAAUAGACUCCACCUUUUGAUGGAAAGGGAGGCAAAAUCAAAAGGUAAGAGAGUAUGUGCAUGGGAAAGAGAGAAGUUGUGGCCAUUUCCUUGCCAUCUACCACAAACAGGAUGUCAAAGAAUUGGGCAUAUACUAGGUACAAGAGGCUAAACCAUAGAUUCUUAGAAUUUCUUACUUAAAAGAGACGUUAGAGAUCAUCUAUGCCAGGGACUUUUAAAGUGUGUCUCUUGGACCAGCAGCAUCAGUUUCACUGAGUAAUAUGGCAGUGGUACGAAUUCCAGACCUCCUGAAUCAGAAACCCUGAGAAUGGAUAUUGGAAUCUAUGUUUUAACAAUUCCUACAAGUGAUGCAUACAAAAGUUUGAGAACCACUAAUAGAAAAUCAUUUUUAAUACUCACUGCACAUCAAAAUCAUCUAAAAAGCAUUUUAAAAAUAUAAAUUUCAGGCUGGGGUUGUGGCUCAUUGGUAGAGUACUUGCCUAGCAUGUGUGAGGCACUGGUUUCAAUCUCCAGCACCACAUUAAAAAAAAAAAACAAAAAACUAAAUCAACAAAAUAAAGGGAUUGUGUCCAUCUACAACUAAAAAUAAUUUUUUAAAAUGAGUAUCUCAGACCCUAAUCAAGAGAUUUUCAUUAAAUUGACCCAGGAGGGGGCCCAGGC
Molecule: long non-coding RNA, 993 nt
Filed under: Marmota monax (woodchuck)
Lineage: Eukaryota; Metazoa; Chordata; Mammalia; Rodentia; Sciuridae
Source: RNAcentral